Long non-coding RNA from Tyto alba (common barn owl), 751 nucleotides. RefSeq lists it as uncharacterized. The record is from RefSeq and is a predicted model, not a curated record. The transcript has 3 exons. NCBI's taxonomy places the organism in Eukaryota, Metazoa, Chordata, Aves, Strigiformes, Tytonidae.
UGCAUCGUUGCGUAGGGCUGGCCAUUGAAGCCCCAUGGUGUUUAUCCAGGUUCCUGCUUCUCCCCAGGAGGCCUAUGGACCCCAGUGUUGAUCAUGGGGAAGACUUGGAGGUCCUGUCCUGCCCCACCAGUGCCUUUCUCAGCCCCAGGCUGGUCUAACUGGUGGCAGCUUGUCCCAGAGCCACGCAGACGCCCGCUCGGACGGUGCCCCCGCGCAGCACCGUGCUGCCCUCGUUGCUGACUGUCUCCUGGACUCCCAGGACCACCCUCCCCUGCACGGCUGGGCAGCUUCCCACUCGGAGCUGCUGCCCUGGGUGGGCUCCCUGGCCGCGGCACUGACCUGCACCUAAGUGAGCACCGUGCCCAGCGCCGGUACAUUUGGUAGGCUCCCGGCGGGACGCAGGAUGGACACGAGUUUUCAGCCAGCCUCUGCCCUCAGGCUGGUGCACCACGGUCACGCUGGUGGAGAGAGCGAGCUCUUGUCCCUCGUCAUCGCCGGGUGCAAUAAAAUCAAUACCAGGUAGAGGAGAGAGCUGGGUAUUUCACAAGAGGCUUCUGAGAACUGUCUUUGCUUUGGAAAAGGUGCAGAGCUACUAUGGAAAAUGAAGAGCUUAUGGCGCGUCCCUCCUCAGCAGGCGCAGCCCUCCGGCUCGCGGCUCUGGGUCAGCAGCCAACCUCCCUCUGGGCAGAGAGGAGGGAACACAUGGUAUUUCAAAACGCGUCCAUUUUCAGUGAAACAAAUCACAUAAAAA